UACAGAGGUCCCAAGCGUUGUUCGGAUUCACUGGGCAUAAAGGGUGCGUAGGUGGCGAGGUAAGUCGGAUGUGAAAGCUCGGAGCUCAACUCCGAAAUGGCAUUGGAAACUACCUUGCUCGAGGGUUGGAGGGGGGACUGGAAUUCUCGGUGUAGCAGUGAAAUGCGUAGAUAUCGAGAGGAACACCAGUGGCGAAGGCGAGUCCCUGGACAACUCCUGACACUGAGGCACGAAAGCUAGGGGAGCAAACAGG
This 253-nucleotide ribosomal RNA is filed under the name uncultured bacterium. Its description in RNAcentral is "partial 16S ribosomal RNA". It matches the Rfam family "Bacterial small subunit ribosomal RNA", at positions 524 to 776 of the family's 1533-position model. The record is from RNAcentral.